CAGCCACAGAUUUUUGUUUUUAAUCGUAACGUCUUGAAAUGAAAACGACGGCGUUUAACAACUCGCCUUGUUUUUAAUUGUUUCCUACCAAACUCCGAUCCUAAAUUUACAAAACAAAGCAUCUCAACUGCACUGCUUCACCGUCACAAGAAGGAAGACGAAGUUAGAGAUGAUUGAUGAUGAAGUCUUGGGAUUCCUUGCCAACUUUCUUGGCAUUUUCAUUUUUGCUUUGGUUAUAGCAUAUCACUUGGUCGUGGCCGACCCCAAAUAUGAAGCUAGCUAGAAUACUUUGAAUUUUCUGAUGUGUUUGAGACAAAAGGUUUUGAUUGAUUUGGUUCUGUAAGGUCAGCUUAUAUGACUUAAUAUUGGUGAAACCAGAAUUUUGUGGCUUAUGCCAAUUACAUUUUUCAAUAUUUAAAAGCAUGCUUGAAUCUUAUUGUGUC
Molecule: non-coding RNA, 443 nt
Organism: Arachis ipaensis
Lineage: Eukaryota; Viridiplantae; Streptophyta; Magnoliopsida; Fabales; Fabaceae
Source: RefSeq, a predicted model, not a curated record